RNAcentral lists this ribosomal RNA (500 nucleotides) under uncultured bacterium. Its description in RNAcentral is "bacterial SSU rRNA". It matches the Rfam family "Bacterial small subunit ribosomal RNA", at positions 29 to 518 of the family's 1533-position model. The record is from RNAcentral.
AUGAACGCUAGCGACAGGCUAACACAUGCAAGUCGAGGGGUAACAGGGUAGCAAUACCGCUGACGACCGGCGCACGGGUGAGUAACGCGUAUGCAACCUGCCUAUAACUGUGGAAUAGCUCCCUGAAAGGGGGAAUUAACACCGCAUAACACUAUUGAUUCGCAUGGAUUGGUAGUUAAAUGUAGCGAUACAGGUUAUAGAUGGGCAUGCGUGACAUUAGCUAGUUGGUGAGGUAACGGCUCACCAAGGCUACGAUGUCUAGGGGUUCUGAGAGGAAGGUCCCCCCACACUGGUACUGAGACACGGACCAGACUCCUACGGGAGGCAGCAGUGAGGAAUAUUGGUCAAUGGGCGCAAGCCUGAACCAGCCAUGUCGCGUGCAGGAAGAACCUGCCCUAUGGGUUGUAAACUGCUUUUAUAGUAGAAGAAACACAUCUACGUGUAGAUGUACUGCCAGUAUACUAUGAAUAAGCAUCGGCUAACUCCGUGCCAGCCGCCGC